Molecule: Y RNA, 112 nt
Filed under: Carlito syrichta (Philippine tarsier)
Lineage: Eukaryota; Metazoa; Chordata; Mammalia; Primates; Tarsiidae
Description: Y RNA (ENSTSYG00000029054.1)
Rfam family: Y RNA
About the family: Y RNAs are components of the Ro ribonucleoprotein particle (Ro RNP), in association with Ro60 and La proteins. The Y RNAs and Ro60 and La proteins are well conserved, but the function of the Ro RNP is not known.
Source: Rfam by way of RNAcentral
GACUGGUCUGAAGGUACUGAGUUAUCUCAAUUGAUUGUUCACAGUCAGUUUCAGAUCGAACUUUUUGUUCUACUCUUUCCCCCUUCUCACUACUGCACUUGACUAGUCUUUA